GAUGAACGCUGGCGGCGUGCCUAAUACAUGCAAGUCGAGCGAACAGAUAAGGAGCUUGCUCCUUUGACGUUAGCGGCGGACGGGUGAGUAACACGUGGGUAACCUACCUAUAAGACUGGGAUAACUUCGGGAAACCGGAGCUAAUACCGGAUAACAUUUGGAACCGCAUGGUUCUAAAGUGAAAGAUGGUUUUGCUAUCACUUAUAGAUGGACCCGCGCCGUAUUAGCUAGUUGGUAAGGUAACGGCUUACCAAGGCGACGAUACGUAGCCGACCGGAGAGGGGGAACGGCACACCAGGAAAGGAGCAACGGUCCAGCACCCUAGGGGAGGCAGCAGGAGGGAAUCUUCCGAAAGGGGCGAAAGCCUGAGGGAGCAACGCCGGGUGGGUGAUGAAGGGUUUCGGCUCGAAAAACUCUGUUAUUGGGAAAAAACAAAUGGGUAAGUAACGGGGCACGUCUUGACGGUACCUAAUAAAAAAGCCACGGCUAACUACGU
RNAcentral lists this ribosomal RNA (496 nucleotides) under uncultured bacterium. RNAcentral's name for it is "partial 16S ribosomal RNA". It matches the Rfam family "Bacterial small subunit ribosomal RNA", at positions 28 to 506 of the family's 1533-position model. The record is from RNAcentral.